AAUUAUUUGGCCGAACGUUUAGGUGGGUAUCUUGAAAAUACCUUAAAAUAGUUUAACUCUAUUAAUAAUUU
This 71-nucleotide transfer RNA is filed under the name Podura aquatica (water springtail). RNAcentral's name for it is "tRNA-Ser". Lineage: Eukaryota; Metazoa; Arthropoda; Collembola; Poduromorpha; Poduridae. The record is from RNAcentral.